Molecule: RNA transcript, 1743 nt
Organism: Pieris napi
Lineage: Eukaryota; Metazoa; Arthropoda; Insecta; Lepidoptera; Pieridae
Exons: 3
Source: RefSeq, a predicted model, not a curated record
GAACGUAGAUAUUGACAGAAAUUCAAAUUACACUGACAGAUUCAUUCCGUUACUUUCAAGUUAACGUGUAUGUGAUUGAGAUUCUGCGUUUAUUUUAUUUGGAUUUUUUGGAAACUUGGCUAUACUUUUGGACUUUGAUUUGAUUGCUUUUCUCUAAGACCUUGCUAUACAUACUGGACACCGAUUUCUCGCGAUCACAGCUUGUCAUGACGUCUGGAAAUAGUCUAUGUGGACGUGAUCCAGUACCUGAGCCGUCUACUAGUUCUAUUAGUUCUAUGCUUCGUAGACGACCGGCUUUUUUGGAUGAUUCUGAUGAUGACGAUGGGCCCGUUGUCGGUCGUGACCUCUACACUGAAGAAGUGAUCAUGAUGUGGAACUUGACAAAAAUUAUGAAAAAUUUGAGUACUAAUGAGCAGUGUGUGGCAUUUGCUGAAGAAAAUGGAUUAGUGCAUUCUCAAAAGGAAUGUAGUAAACAUCGUAAACCCAUGAAAAUUGCUAAAUCGACGAAUAAAUCAUUUGGUUCAUGGUGUUGUACGAAAGGAAAUUGCAGAGCAAAAACAAAAGUUCCUAGAAAUAAAGGAACGUUUUUCGAAAAUAUUAAAAUCGAUUUAGUACAAGUGUUCUACUUGUUAUAUGCAUAUUCACGUAAAUGGAGCUAUGAAACAGUCAUUCAUGAAGACCCAUAUAAAGAAAGUAGACAACAAUGCAUAAGCCGACCCACCAUAAGUGAUUGGUAUUCUUAUUGCAGGGAAACUAUAGUUAUUUAUCAAAUGGAUAGAAAUCAAGUAGAAGGAAAGAUUGGUGGCCCAGGGAAGGUAGUCCAGAUUGAUGUAUCAAAAUUUGGGAAACGAAAAUUCAAUCGAGGACGACACAUUGAGGGCCAUUGGGUUAUUGGUAUGACGGAAGGCAAAGAAGUUCUGAGAUUAGAAGUGUCCCAAGACAAUAUUGAGUCAGCUGAAGUAUUAGUGCCACUUAUACAAAAACAUGUAGAAGUUGGCACUACUAUCCAUACCAACUUCUGGAAAGUGUAUGAUUGUUUAUCACAGCAUGGGUACAUACACAAAAAAGUAUUUGAGUCAGAUCCUGAUAACCCUGUUGUGGCUGACGAUGGAAGUUAUUUUUACGAAUACUUGUGGCGGCGGUACAAUGUUAAACACAGAAAAGACCCCUUUAUGGAGCUAAUUAAAGCUAUAAAAUAUGCUUAUAAAUAAAACACUUGCAAACUUAGCCGGGAAUAUCUGCGCUGCUGACCUGCUGAGUUGCUGCUUAUUUUGAACUCGUGCCAGGCAGUGGCCACAACAACCUGGCUCUACACAUACUAUGGAUUGGGCCCUGGUGGUUUUAGUGGGUAUGGGGUCAUCGCAUUUUACGACCUUGACCCCCACACUCCCCGCGCCAUUCACACUUGCCCAGGCGCGGGGGCCCGUAAUCGGGUUUCCCCAGGUAAAAAAAAAAAAAAAAAAAACUUCACCGAGAUGUUUAUUUGAUGAAACGUAUUAUAUAUUUAAUUUAAUAUGUCAAAAAUUUUAUUGCUUAUGGGUUGUCUAACAAAUUUCAGUCCAUGAUAUGAUUAAUUAAAAUUAAAAAUUUUAAAUAUUUCACCAGUUUGAUUAUUACCCAAAUUAUAACAAUCGAAAGUAUGAAGCCCAUAAAAUAUGCAAAUGUUAGGUUGCCUAUUCUUUUCCGGUCACAACUCUCGCGUAGCCAGGUAUAAACAUUGUAAAUUGUAAUCAAUACUAGGAU